GGAGGAGGAGCAGGCUGGGUUGUGUAGGGAGGAGGAGGACAGGCUGGGUUGUGUAGGGAGGAGGAGAGCAGGCUGGGUUGUGUAGGGAGGAGGAGAGCAUGCUGGGUUGUGUAGGGAGGAGGAGGGCAGGCUGGGUUGUGUAGGGAGGAGGAGGACAGGCUGGGUUGUGUAGGGAGGAGGAGAGCAGGCUGGGUUGUGUAGGGAGGAGGAGAGCAUGCUGGGUUGUGUAGGGAGGAGGAGGACAGGCUGGGUUGUGUAGGGAGGAGGAGAGCAGGCUGGGUUGUGUAGGGAGGAGGAGAGCAUGCUGGGUUGUGUAGGGAGGAGGAGGGCAGGCUGGGUUGUGUAGGGAGGAGGAGAGCAGGCUGGGUUGUGUAGGGAGGAGGAGGACAGGCUGGGUUGUGUAGGGAGGAGGAGAGCAGGCUGGGUUGUGUAGGGAGGAGGAGAGCAUGCUGGGUUGUGUAGGGAGGAGGAGGACAGGCUGGGUUGUGUAGGGAGGAGGAGGACAGGCUGGGUUGUGUAGGGAGGAGGAGAGCAGGCUGGGUUGUGUAGGGUGUGUGUAUGUAGUAGAGAGGGUUUUAUGAGGUGAAGGUGACAAAGCAUUAUUCAUUGCAAUGUGCUGUGUGUGUCAAUCAGUAUGUUCAUUUUUCGAACUGUUCAUACAGUUCAAAAAUCUAUGCAAAGAUAGGAAUUGACAGCACACAUACACACACACACACACACAUACACACACACACACACAUACACAUACAUACACACACAUACACACACAUACACAUACAUACACACACAUACACACACAUACACACACAUACAUAUACAUACACACACAUACCCACACAUACACACACAUACACACACAUAAAUAUGCAUUUGACAAAACACACUGUACGUGUGUCCUAGUCUGUUCAGUAUCUGUAAUAUCUGUAGUAUCUGUAGUAUCUGUAGUAUCUGCAGUAUCUGUAGUAUCUGUAGUAUCUGCAGUAUCUGUAGUAUCAGUAGUAUCUGUAGUAUCUGCAGUAUCUGUAGUAUCUGCAGUAUCUGUAGUAUCUGUAGUAUCUGCAGUAUCUGCAGUAUCAGUAGUAUCAGUAGUAUCUGUAGUAUCUGCAGUAUCAGUAGUAUCAGUAGUAUCUGUAGUAUCUGCAGUAUCUGUAGUAUCUGCAGUAUCUGUAGUAUCUGCAGUAUCUGUAGUAUCAGUAGUAUCUGUAGUAUCUGCAGUAUCUGCAGUAUCUGUAGUAUCUGUAGUAUCUGUAGUAUCUGCAGUAUCUGCAGUAUCUGCAGUAUCUGUAGUAUCAGUAGUAUCUGUAGUAUCUGUAGUAUCUGCAGUAUCUGCAGUAUCUGCAGUAUCUGUAGUAUCAGUAGUAUCUGUAGUAUCUGCAGUAUCUGUAGUAUCUGCAGUAUCUGUAGUAUCAGUAGUAUCUGUAGUAUCUGUAGUAUCAGUAGUAUCUGUAGUAUCUGCAGUAUCUGCAGUAUCUGUAGUAUCAGUAGUAUCUGUAGUAUCUGCAGUAUCUGCAGUAUCUGUAGUAUCUGCAGUAUCUGUAGUAUCUGUAGUAUCAGUAGUAUCUGCAGUAUCUGCAGUAUCUGUAGUAUCAGUAGUAUCUGUAGUAUCUGCAGUAUCUGCAGUAUCUGCAGUAUCUGUAGUAUCAGUAGUAUCUGUAGUAUCUGCAGUAUCUGCAGUAUCUGUAGUAUCUGCAGUAUCUGUAGUAUCUGUAGUAUCUGUGUCGGGAAUGUUAAUCAGCUUGUGUGUGUGUGUGUGUGUGUGUGUGUUUGUGCAUGCUUAUGUGUGUUUGUUUGUGUACCUUUGUGCAUGCUUGAAAUGCAUGUUUAAGUGUGUGCAUGUGUGUGUCAGAGUGUCAGUGCUCUGAGGUAAACAGCUGUCACUGUCUCAGUGGUGUGUGUUUCAGGUUGGGGGCAAAGCGGAUGGUGGUUGCUAGGUAACCAGGUAGAAUAGGGCUUGAAUUACACCGGUGUCUCUCCCUGUCCCAAAUGCAGGCACCUCUUUUCUCCGACCUCAUCCGCUCUUUCCUAAAGCUAGACACCCAUCUCGUAUUUUUUGGUGGAGUUUGAGGCCUCUGCGAGGAGAAGCAAUAUACAACCAACUGAAAAGUACUACAUCUUACAUUUGGAACCUUUUGGAACUCUCUAGAACCUUCCAGAACCUUGAAGAACGUUAGAAUUUUCUGAUCCCUGUUGACGUCUACUAGGAGCCACCCGAGGAACUGAAGCAACUUUUUCGCUUUUCUCUGACUAGUCUGUUGUCUCUACUGGUCUGAACUGGUUUUUGUGGUUUGUACUGGUCUGAACUGGUCUGUAGUGGUCAAGAUGCGACGGUUAGAGCUAAAGGCCCUCUGUGCAGCAUUGCUGGUCUUUGCAGUGGUGAGCGCCACUUCCUGUCAGUCGGACUCUUCAGACUGCUCCCAGGCUGAGUCAUGUGACCUGUGUGUUGGAGACUCCACCCUCAACCUGACUGGCUGUGUCUGGAGGGUCUGCGUGAACGGCAAUGAUACUGGGUGUGUGUCCUAUCAGGAUGAUUCUCAGAACUGUAAUGUGACAAGUGACCCAGACAUGUGUACAGUCAUAGAGAUUGAGGCAGAAGGUAAAGGGGACUCAGAUGGAUCUCCUGCAGAGCCGUCAGAGUUCUCUCAGGCCAGCUUUGACCUGUCCAGUUUCAUUGGAGGCAUCAUCCUGGUGUUGUGUGUCCAGGCCGGGGGCUUCUUCACCAUGCGCUUCCUCAAGAAAGAUGCCACCUACGACCCUAUAGAGCAGCCAGCCUAGAGGAGAGAGAGAAGAGGAGGACAGUGAAGGAUGAAAGAUUGAGGGUGCUGUGACUCACCAUGCUGUCACGAUGCUUUAUAUGACGUCAUGUACCAUACUCCAGUGUCUGUGUGUGUGUUGUACUUGUGUGUGUGUUAUACUUGUCUGUGUGUCCCAGAUGUGCACCUGUGUACAUUGUUUUGUUUGACUGAUUGUUCAUUAUGUUGUGUAACACCUGUUUCUCUCUCUGUGUGUGUGUGUGUGUGUGUGUGUGUGUGUGGUGUGUGUGUCAGCAUGCGUGUGUGUGUGUUCUCUUCGUCCCAUCAGGUGGACUUUCCCUGAUGCCUGUGUGUCAAUUUCUAUUUUCAUAGUCUGAUGUGUUUCACCUGGAUCUAAUAUGAGUGCAAUAUUUACAUUGGGUGUUCAGGUUCCAUGUGUAAUGAAUGUGUAAUGAUUUGAAUUGUGUUUAAACAUGUUCAGGAGUUAGUUUUGUUGAACUGGUUUGGUUUGAGCUGCAUUCAGGAGGGAGGGGUCUGGGAUCUGUUCUGUGUUGUUUAUGAAAAUAAACACAAUACAAAACAAAUCUGUGUUUACGCUAGUGUGAGUGUGUAUAUGAGAGCAAGAGAGAAAAAAAGAGAGUGAGAAAGAGAGAGA
Oncorhynchus tshawytscha (Chinook salmon) is the source of this 3405-nucleotide long non-coding RNA. The record is from Ensembl. Lineage: Eukaryota; Metazoa; Chordata; Actinopteri; Salmoniformes; Salmonidae.